This 496-nucleotide ribosomal RNA is filed under the name uncultured bacterium. Its description in RNAcentral is "partial 16S ribosomal RNA". It matches the Rfam family "Bacterial small subunit ribosomal RNA", at positions 28 to 506 of the family's 1533-position model. The record is from RNAcentral.
GAUGAACGCUGGCGGCGUGCCUAAUACAUGCAAGUCGAGCGAACAGAUGAGGAGCUUGCUCCUCUGACGUUAGCGGCGGACGGGUGAGUAACACGUGGAUAACCUACCUAUAAGACUGGGAUAACUUCGGGAAACCGGAGCUAAUACCGGAUAAUAUAUUGAACCGCAUGGUUCAAUAGUGAAAGACGGUUUUGCUGUCACUUAUAGAUGGAUCCGCGCCGCAUUAGCUAGUUGGUAAGGUAACGGCUUACCAAGGCAACGAUGCGUAGCCGACCUGAGAGGGUGAUCGGCCACACUGGAACUGAGACACGGCCCAGACCCCUACGGGAGGCAGCAGUAGGGAAUCUGCCGCAAUGGGCGAAAGCCUGACGGAGCAACGCCGCGUGAGUGAUGAAGGUCUUCGGAUCGUAAAACUCUGUUAUUAGGGAAGAACAAAUGUGUAAGUAACUAUGCACGUCUUGACGGUACCUAAGCAGAAAGCCACGGCUAACUACGU